RNAcentral lists this unclassified non-coding RNA (1693 nucleotides) under Hevea brasiliensis (rubber tree). Lineage: Eukaryota; Viridiplantae; Streptophyta; Magnoliopsida; Malpighiales; Euphorbiaceae. The record is from RNAcentral.
UUGUUUGAACAAAUUUUUCAAAAACAAAUGAAAGUAAUAACCUUUGCCUUACAUACUUAUAGCCCUCAAACCACAUUGUUCACAUGAAUUUUCCGUGACAAGAUAUAUUUAUACAAUGGAUCAACGAAGUUUCUUGAGUAAGCCAAGUAAUUUAAUCCCUACUGCCUAUGUCCUUGUGACUUCAUCUAUGUUGAAUGUUCUAUGAUGACUAAAUGUAUCAUUGAUCUUUCAACAAGUCUCCUUCAGAAACUUGAUUUGUAGUAGGUGGUGAGCCAGCCAACGAAGUGCCAGUUGAGAUGGAAACAGUCGGUGUUGGACCUGUGGAUAAUGUGGAUGUUGGUGUUGCAUUGCCUGUGACAGAGGUGCCAUAGACAGAAGGCUGUGAUAUUGAGUUAGAAGCCUUCUCUUGAGAUGCAUGCAUGUUGAUCUUUAUUUUGUUGUGAAUAUUGACAUAUUCAUCAGUUUCAUCCAAUAUUUCCUCCUGAAGAAGUUCUUCAAUUACAUCCUCCAUGGUAAUUACACCAACAACUUCCUCACCGGAUAGGAAUUGUGGAAUGGGGGAAUUCUCAAUGUCCAGAAUGCAAUAUGAGCAACCUCUGUGACGCUUCUUAAAGGCAGGAGUAGGUGGUGGACUCUUUUGUCUCUGUUGACCUUCAUCACUCUUCCCGAUAGCAGUCUUAGAAUCAAGUGACUCCAAACCAGCCUUCAUAUUCUGGACAGCAGCAGUGGGCCCAACCGAAUUAUCAUCUUUCUUAAAUGAUGUCUCUGUGCCUCUCUGCUUCUUGCAGCUGUCCUUAAAUUCAAGCUGUUGACCGUCUUUGCCUUUCCUUGAUGUGUCUGUUUUUGCACUUAAAUCUUUAUAUACAACAGCAAGGUGGCUGUGACCUUUCUGAAAUUCGUUCAGAAUGUCGUAUAGAGGCAUGUCUUCUGAAACCCGAGGAAUUUUCCUAAUGAUCAUUUUUCUUAGAGGAACUGCACCUUUUGGAUCAACUGAUAACAGAUUUUUAACCAGAAUAAGUCCAAUUAUAUUUUUUGGAUCUCCUGCAUAAACUGGGACUCUACUGUGACCCUUUGUCAUUAUUGCAUUCAAUGUGUCCAAAUUAAGAGUUGCAUCCAGAUCAAGCGAAAAUGCUUUCGAUAUGGGAGUCAUGGCAUCUUUUGCUGUCUUUUCAGUCAAUUCAAGUGCCCCAGUAAUUAUAGUAGUCUCAUCAUGUGUCAAAUCCCCACCUUUCCCUGCCUCAUUGCCAUGAAAAUUAACAAAAGUUUUGAGCUCUGCUCUCCGUAAAAGGACAGCAUGUCCUUUGCCCAACAUCCAAUCCAGAACCUUACUAAUUGGAUAAGAAAUGGGGUAGAACAACAUAACAAGAACACGAACAAAUGGUGCCAUUAUUGCUCCGACUUUCAAGCCAUAACGAGUACAUACUGCUUGUGGCAAUAUCUCUCCAAACAUUAGUAUGAGAGUUACUGAUAUCAGAAUUGCAGCCCAAGGAGGCACAAUCUUGUCCAAGAAUAUGGGAAGAGCCUCCAUUGCUAAAGAGUUGCCAAUCAACAGAGUACAUAGCAGAAGAUGCUGAUUCUUUACCACUGGCAAUAUUUUAGCGGCAUGGAUUCGAUCCUUAGGACGACCAGAAUUCUUGAGCACUUCAAGGUCGACGAGGCCUAAAGACAUGAGACCCAGCGUUAGGCCAGCCAU